UAUUUAUUGCUUAUUAUAGCUUCGCAUUAUAUUCAAUGAAAGACAGAAAAGGUGGAAAAUAGGUGACAACUAGUGGAAAUUGGCUGUACUAGCUGAAUCUGAAAAGAUCAUUUUUAAAUGUGUCUGCAGUGUAUUAUUUCUGCAUGAGAGAAAGUUGGUUAAAGAUAAGAUUAAUGAUAGAUCAAGUUACAAGCUCCCACACAAAUGUAUAGAAACAACCCCAGGUGGAAUUUGGGUCAGUUAAGAUUUAUAUAUGCAGGCAAAUAUCAGGUCAGAUGCAAAGAAAUAGUUCUUGCCUAUUCUCUUCAUUAAUUGAAAAAAAAGAAGUGUUUAUAAAAAGGAUGUUUUUACAAUAGCUUUUCAACUUAAGGAUUUGACACAUUCUUUAGCUGACCAAGAAAGUGUAUGUGUGGAAUCAAUUUAUCUGUGUAGUAAUACCAAAUUUUGAAAUCUGGCAUUUGAUGAGUCAGCCUGUGAGAAACUGGAAACACAUUGUGAGAGGUACCUUCUGUGAAAAAAGUGCAACUUUGUGACAUGAUAUGCCUGCCUGACUGUAUAUACCUGAGCAGCACACAGCUUAUUACUGCAUAAAAGAAACAUAUCAAGAUAAUUUUGAAUCAGAUUGUGUGCUGGAAAAAUGGCCUAACAUCCAAAGGAGUGAAAUUUGGAGAGUCAUUCGCCAUCUACUUAAGCCAUCCUGGAAUAUGAAAAAAUAAGACUGCA
This is a long non-coding RNA of Mercenaria mercenaria, 723 nucleotides long. RefSeq lists it as uncharacterized. The transcript is spliced from 3 exons. The record is from RefSeq and is a predicted model, not a curated record. NCBI's taxonomy places the organism in Eukaryota, Metazoa, Mollusca, Bivalvia, Venerida, Veneridae.